UCGUCCACCUGUUGAGGACAGAUGAAAUGAAUAUGCGUAUCGAAUCCUCCAGCGGUGACAAUCUUAUUCUCACCAGCGACCACGUCCGUCGAGGAGCCGACGACCAUUUCCGGGUGUACGCCGUCCAUGACAUCGGGAUUUCCCGCCUUGCCAAUGCCGGUGAUGAUACCGUUUUUGAUUCCAAUAUCGGCCUUGUAGAUACCGGUCCAGUCGAUCACCAGCGCGUUCGUGAUCACCGUGUCCAAACAGUGUUGGUGGGACUUGUCCGAUGAUUGACCCAUUCCAUCUCGG
This 291-nucleotide small RNA is filed under the name Aspergillus bombycis. Its description in RNAcentral is "5' ureB small RNA". It matches the Rfam family "5' ureB small RNA". Lineage: Eukaryota; Fungi; Ascomycota; Eurotiomycetes; Eurotiales; Aspergillaceae. The record is from Rfam by way of RNAcentral.